UGGGGAAUAUUGGACAAUGGGGGAAACCCUGAUCCAGCAAUGCCGCGUGAGUGAUGAAGGCCUUCGGGUUGUAAAGCUCUUUUAUCAGGGACGAUAAUGACGGUACCUGAUGAAUAAGCACCGGCUAACUUCGUGCCAGCAGCCGCGGUAAUACGAAGGGUGCUAGCGUUGUUCGGAAUGACUGGGCGUAAAGGGAGCGUAGGCGGUUGAGUACGUUUGAUGUGAAAGUCCUGGGCUUAACCUGGGGACUGCAUUGAAUACGGCUUGACUUGAGGUAUAGAGGGGAAGAUGGAAUUGUGUGUGUAGAGGUGAAAUUCGUAGAUAUACACAAGAACACCAGUGGCGAAGGCGAUCUUCUGGCUAUUACCUGACGCUAAGGCUCGAAAGCGUGGGGAGCAAACAGGAUUAGAUACCCGCGUAGUCC
Molecule: ribosomal RNA, 424 nt
Filed under: uncultured bacterium
Lineage: Bacteria
Description: bacterial SSU rRNA
Rfam family: Bacterial small subunit ribosomal RNA
Source: RNAcentral